This 282-nucleotide long non-coding RNA is filed under the name Chinchilla lanigera (long-tailed chinchilla). RNAcentral describes it as "lncRNA (ENSCLAG00000024099.1)". The record is from RNAcentral. Lineage: Eukaryota; Metazoa; Chordata; Mammalia; Rodentia; Chinchillidae.
UCUUUAAUGUUAGAAGAAGCUGUGUUUUCUGUCUGCUACCCCUGGCAUGGAAUGCUGAGAAAGAGCUGUGGGGCUUCAAUUCAGCUAACUGAACUAUCAAGCAUUAUCAUUCCGAUUGGAUUUGUCAUUUUGGCAAAUCUUUGGAAAUGAAGACUAGCAGGAAAAUGGAGAAAAGAAAACUGUUGGACAAAGAAGAAUACAGAAGAAAGAAAACAAUUACAGUGGAAACAAAUCAGCUCACGUGGGCAAUCAAAAUAAAGACUGACCCUAGACAGAUUGACC